This 426-nucleotide ribosomal RNA is filed under the name uncultured bacterium. RNAcentral's name for it is "bacterial SSU rRNA". It matches the Rfam family "Bacterial small subunit ribosomal RNA", at positions 354 to 796 of the family's 1533-position model. The record is from RNAcentral.
GUGGGGAAUAUUGGGCAAUGGGCGAAAGCCUGACCCAGCAACGCCGCGUGAGGGAAGAAGGUCUUCGGGUUGUAAACCUCUGUCCUAAGUGAAAAGGAAGGAUGGUAGCUUAGGAGGAAGCCCCGGCUAACUACGUGCCAGCAGCCGCGGUAAUACGUAGGGGGCGAGCGUUGUCCGGAAUGAUUGGGCGUAAAGGGCGUGUAGGCGGUCCAUUAAGUCUGGAGUGAAAGUCCCGUUUUCAAGAUGGGAAUUGCUUUGGAUACUGGAGGACUUGAGUGCAGGAGAGGUUAUCGGAAUUCCCGGUGUAGCGGUGAAAUGCGUAGAGAUCGGGAGGAACACCAGUGGCGAAGGCGGGUAACUGGACUGCAACUGACGCUGAGGCGCGAAAGUGUGGGGAGCAAACAGGAUUAGAAACCCCAGUAGUCC